This 23-nucleotide non-coding RNA is filed under the name Rattus norvegicus (Norway rat). Lineage: Eukaryota; Metazoa; Chordata; Mammalia; Rodentia; Muridae. The record is from RNAcentral.
CUUUGUGCUUUUCAAAUGUUUGC